CCGUAUCAGAAAAACGAGGUCAAUAAAAACGAAGACAUUGUUUGUCUUUUUCUAUAAAAGAUCGAUAGUGAACAUGGAAUGACAAAUACAAAGUAUCCUAACUUGAGUAAAAAGAACACAAGCCGGCCACAAACACCCAAUGGAUUCAGAGUCUCCUUCCACAAUAUAUAUUUAGACGUGUUUAUGAUUAGAAGGCCUAGGCCCACGAAAAGCGAAGCGGGAGAGAGAAACCCUAAAGCCUCAUCAGUCGUCUGCUUUUAUAUAAAAGGAAAACCUCAAGAAUCUCUUGCAUACACCAAAAAAAGAAAACUAAAGAUGGCUUGAAUAAGCUAAUUUCAUUGCAGCAAUCUCUGUUUAUCCUGCUUGGAUUAUUAUUAUGUCUAGGAAUCUUAUUAGCUAAGUUAUGGUGUUGUAGAUGCCCUUUGUACGUGUAGGAGAAAGUGAUGAUAAGGAAUUGUCGCCCCAGUCUUAUUUGCAUCCAUUGCGAUGGUUGCAACAUGGUGAUUGACUAUUUUCGUCUGAUUUUCUAAUAUUUUCAAAGAUGUCUAAAUAGUGUCUUGUUUUAAUGAUUUAGUACUGUGGAUAUGAUGAAAAGGCAUAAUUGUUUUGUGACACCCAGUCUGAUCUGCUUCUGCAGUAUGAGUGAUUUGCCAUGUCUUCUGAUCCUUUUUUCAAUAAUACAAUUCGUGUUUUUAUCUUCUUUUUAUGUCUUUGUGUGGAAAGAGGACGAAUGAGGAUGAUUAUUAUAACCAUUACGUCUGCAAAUCUGAACUACAGUGUAGAUUCAUAGACAUGCACUACCAUCUGACCUCUUUUCUAACUUGUUUUUGUUUUUGAGUUUUCAAACCCUCUUUUUGUUGGUUUACUGCAACCAAUGAUGAAUAAAAUCGUCCAUAUUUAAUGAUAAUCCCAUGAUUAUUAAUCACUAGAUCACCAUCUUUCGGCUGAGGUUGCAGUCUACUCUUCAAAUGUUUUUCCUUAGAGAAAUUGCUAAUGAUAUCUGUUUAUAAAUACAGCGCCUGUUGUUUUUUCCCUUUUUUACUUCUUUCUUUUGUUAAGUUUUCUUUUGCAGGGUAAUUGGGUUCUUUAUUAA
Brassica oleracea var. oleracea is the source of this 1093-nucleotide long non-coding RNA. RefSeq lists it as uncharacterized. The transcript is spliced from 2 exons. Lineage: Eukaryota; Viridiplantae; Streptophyta; Magnoliopsida; Brassicales; Brassicaceae. The record is from RefSeq and is a predicted model, not a curated record.